GCGCGAAAACUUUACAAUGCGAGAAAUCGUGAUAAGGGAACCCCGAGUGCCCGUAAAUUCGGGCUGUCCAUCAGUGUAAAUAACUGGUGAAGAAAGGGCCGGGCAAGACCGGUGCCAGCCGCCGCGGUAAUACCGGCGGCUCGAGUGGUGGCCACUAUUACUGGGCUUAAAGCGUCCGUAGCUGGAUUGUUAAGUCUCUUGGGAAAUCCACCGGCUCAACCGAUGGGCGUUCAGGAGAAACUGGCAAUCUAGGGACCGGGAGAGGUGAGAGGUACUCCAGGGGUAGGAGUGAAAUCCUGUAAUCCUUGGGGGACCACCUGUGGCGAAGGCGUCUCACUAGAACGGCUCCGACAGUGAGGGACGAAAGCUGGGGGAGCAAACCG
This 383-nucleotide ribosomal RNA is filed under the name uncultured bacterium. RNAcentral's name for it is "bacterial SSU rRNA". It matches the Rfam family "Archaeal small subunit ribosomal RNA", at positions 339 to 726 of the family's 1478-position model. The record is from RNAcentral.